RNAcentral lists this ribosomal RNA (494 nucleotides) under uncultured bacterium. Its description in RNAcentral is "partial 16S ribosomal RNA". It matches the Rfam family "Bacterial small subunit ribosomal RNA", at positions 28 to 507 of the family's 1533-position model. The record is from RNAcentral.
GACGAACGCUGGCGGCGUGCUUAACACAUGCAAGUCGAACGGUGAAGCGCCUUCCUUUUUGGUGGGUGUGGAUGAGUGGCGAACGGGUGAGUAACACGUGAGUAACCUGCCCCCUUCUUCUGGAUAACCGCAUGAAAGUGUGGCUAAUACGGGAUAUUCUGGGUCUGUCGCAUGAUGGGUCUGUGAAAGAUAUUGUUUCGGUGGGGGAUGGGCUCGCGGCCUAUCAGCUUGUUGGUGGGGUGAUGGCCCACCAGGGCGGUGACGGGUAGCCGGCCUGAGAGGGUGGACGGUCACACUGGGACUGAGACACGGCCGAGACUCCUACGGGAGGCAGCAGUGGGGAAUAUUGCACAAUGGGCGCAAGCCUGAUGCAGCGACGCCGCGUGAGGGAUGGAGGCCUUCGGGUUGUGAACCUCUUUCGCCAGUGAAGCAGGCCUGCCUCGUUUGUGGGUGGGUUGACGGUAGCUGGAUAAGAAGCGCCGGCUAACUACGUG